GUGGGGAAUAUUGCGCAAUGGGGGAAACCCUGACGCAGCGACGCCGCGUGAGCGAAGAAGGCCUUAGGGUUGUAAAGCUCUGUUUUAAGGGACGAAUGUCGUGGGGAGUAAUAUGCUCUGCGAAUGACGGUACCUUAAGAGGAAGCCCCGGCUAACUACGUGCCAGCAGCCGCGGUAAGACGUAGGGGGCGAGCGUUGUCCGGAAUUACUGGGCGUAAAGAGCACGUAGGCGGGAACUUAAGUCAGGUGUGAAAGACCGGGGCUCAACUCCGGGGUUGCACUUGAAACUGGGUUUCUUGAGGGCAGGAGAGGAAAGCAGAAUUCCUGGUGUAGCGGUGAAAUGCGUAGAAAUCAGGAGGAAUACCAGUGGCGAAGGCGGCUUUCUGGACUGACCCUGACGCUGAGGUGCGAAAGCGUGGGUAGCAAACAGGAUUAGAUACCCCGGUAGUCC
This 451-nucleotide ribosomal RNA is filed under the name uncultured bacterium. RNAcentral describes it as "partial 16S ribosomal RNA". It matches the Rfam family "Bacterial small subunit ribosomal RNA", at positions 354 to 796 of the family's 1533-position model. The record is from RNAcentral.